RNAcentral lists this ribosomal RNA (379 nucleotides) under uncultured eukaryote. RNAcentral describes it as "partial 18S ribosomal RNA". It matches the Rfam family "Eukaryotic small subunit ribosomal RNA", at positions 592 to 975 of the family's 1831-position model. The record is from RNAcentral.
CAAUAGCGUAUAUUAAAGUUGUUGCAGUUAAAAAGCUCGUAGUUGGAUUUGUGGUGUACUUCGGCGGCCCGUCACUAUGUGAUGGAGCUUGCUGAAGUCGCCAUCCUUGGGUGGAUCCUGUGUGGCAUUAAGUUGUCGUGCAGGGGAUGCCCAUCGUUUACUGUGAAAAAAUUAGAGUGUUCAAAGCAGGCUUAUGCCGUUGAAUAUAUUAGCAUGGAAUAAUAAGAUAGGACCUUGGUACUAUUUUGUUGGUUUGCGCACCAAGGUAAUGAUUAAUAGGGACAGUUGGGGGUAUUCGUAUUUCAUCGUCAGAGGUGAAAUUCUUGGAUUUUUGAAAGACGAACUACUGCGAAAGCAUUUACCAAGGAUGUUUUCAUUA